GAGAACCUUAAAUAGUUCCAGUUCCUGGGGAGGGAYGUUCCCGCUGUCCCAGGUGGCUCCAGCCAGGCCUUGGACAAUUCCAGGGAYGGAAUUCCAUGGGAUAAUCUGGGUCAGGGGAUGAUUUAUCCCCGAAUCCUUAUCUAAAUCUGCUUYGGAACGUGUCACUCCUGCUCUGGGUGACAAACCGGGGAUGGUCCCACCUUGGCCCCGAUGAUCUCCAGGUCUUUCCCAACCCAAAUAAUUCCCCGAUUCCCUGCCCGGCGCUCCCGGAGGAUCCCAAACUCCCCGUGCGAUGGAUAUCGCUUCGAUAUCGCGAUGGAUAUCGCUCGGCGGGGCUCCCAAUUAACACCCACCCCUGAGAGGGGUAAUUAGCGCUCUCCGGAAUGAUCCGGCACCCCCUGAUUUGCACCUAAAAGAGAUCCCAAUCAGCGACAAAUCGGGCCCGGAGCCUCGGGGCGCGGCAGGGACGGGAUAAAAGCGCUCCCAGCUCGGGGUUCUUUAUCCGCUUCUCCACCUUUCCUUCUCCGCUGCAUUCAGGCUCGGACCCGCUUUAAACCCCAUCCCGGGAUUUUUUUUACGGAGCCAUGUCGCACUGCGGGGACCUGUGCCUGCCCUCCUGGGAGGGGACCUGUCCCCAACCYCUGACCAACGCCUGCAACGAGCUGUGUGUCACCUCCUGCGACGAUUCCAAAGCCGUCAUUUACCCCCCGCCCGUGGUUCUGACUUUCCCGGGGCCCAUCCUCAGCUCCUGCCCGCAGGAAAGUUUUGUGGGAAGCUGCAGCCCCGCGGUUCUCGGCCGUUCUUUCGGCUCCGGGAGCUCCCUGAGCUAUCGGGGUUACGGGAAUCCCGUCGGUUUGAGGGGCUCCAUCCUCUUCGGAGGCUCCAGCGGUUCCGGGGGAGCCUGGAAUUCCAGCCGAUCCUACAAUUCGGGGUGCUCCUCGUUGGGAAGGGGAAAUUGCGGCCCUUUCUUGCAUCGCCAGUACAGCUCCUGCAGCCGCGGCAGCUGCGGGCCUUGGUGAAACCUUCCCGGGAGCUCCGGGGGAUGGAAUUGGGGAAAAUUCCUUCAAAAAAACCCCAAAUUCCGGCAGGAAUUCCCUGUCAAAGGUCCCGAGGUGUCUGUGUCGAUUCUGUGCUGCUGUGAGCGUUGCCUCGGCUUUUCGUGCGCAUUAAAAACCUUUUAUUGCUCCA
Malurus melanocephalus (red-backed fairy wren) is the source of this 1188-nucleotide long non-coding RNA. RefSeq lists it as uncharacterized. The record is from RefSeq and is a predicted model, not a curated record. NCBI's taxonomy places the organism in Eukaryota, Metazoa, Chordata, Aves, Passeriformes, Maluridae. The transcript has 2 exons.